AGAGAAGCCGUUUUUUCCAGGAGUCUGCAAACUUGAGCGAUCCCAUCGGUAUCAAGCCCAUUGACCAGAGUCUUGGACUGAAAGAGAAUCUGCUGUAAAAAUCCACCGACUAAACUUAGACGACCGCUAUGCAGCGCGUCUGUUUGAAGAUUCAAAGGUCUCAGAGGGAAGCAUGGGCACCAAUCAGCAGCUCUUCUCCCCCGCCCGGCCUUCAGAGAGCCUGGCACAGCAACACAGGAAGCUCUGAGCUCCCGUCUCUGCCUGGUGUGAGGUCUCUGCAAGUGGAAUGCAGCUCAGUCGGACGGCGAUAAGGAGACUGAGCCACGCAGCCACGGUCAAUCUGUAGCAGCGAUGAAAUCCACUGGUCAAAAACCUGCCUCUGGAAGUUUAAAUAUGAACCAAAGCAGAGAUCUUCAUGUCUGACUCCACUGGCUUCGUCAUCCUUUUAGAACAAACUGAUGCCAGCCCUGCC
Betta splendens (Siamese fighting fish) is the source of this 472-nucleotide long non-coding RNA. RefSeq lists it as uncharacterized. The transcript is spliced from 4 exons. NCBI's taxonomy places the organism in Eukaryota, Metazoa, Chordata, Actinopteri, Anabantiformes, Osphronemidae. The record is from RefSeq and is a predicted model, not a curated record.